CAGCAGCCGCGGUAAUACGUAGGUCCCGAGCGUUGUCCGGAUUUAUUGGGCGUAAAGCGAGCGCAGGCGGUUAGAUAAGUCUGAAGUUAAAGGCUGUGGCUUAACCAUAGUACGCUUUGGAAACUGUUUAACUUGAGUGCAAGAGGGGAGAGUGGAAUUCCAUGUGUAGCGGUGAAAUGCGUAGAUAUAUGGAGGAACACCGGUGGCGAAAGCGGCUCUCUGGCUUGUAACUGACGCUGAGGCUCGAAAGCGCGGGGAGCGAACAGGAUUAGAGACCCGUGUAGUCCCUGUCUCUUAUACA
RNAcentral lists this ribosomal RNA (301 nucleotides) under uncultured bacterium. RNAcentral's name for it is "partial 16S ribosomal RNA". It matches the Rfam family "Bacterial small subunit ribosomal RNA", at positions 509 to 808 of the family's 1533-position model. The record is from RNAcentral.